GAUGAACGCUGGCGGCGUGCCUAAUACAUGCAAGUCGAGCGAACAGACGAGGAGCUUGCUCCUCUGACUUUAUCGGCGGACGGGUGAGUAACACGUGGUUAACCUACCUAUAAGACUGGGAUACCUUCGGGAAACCGGAUCUAAUACCGGAUAAUUUAUUGAACCGCAUUGUUCAAUCGUGAAAGUCGGUUUUGCUGUCACUUAUAGAUUGCUCCGCGCCGCAUUAGCUAGUUGGUAAGGUAACGGCUUACCAAGGCGACGAUGCGUAACCGACCUGAGAGGGUGAACGGACACACUGGAUCUGAGACACGGCCCAGACUCCUACGGGAGGACGCAGUAGGGAAUCUUACGCGAUGGGCGAAUGCCUGACGGAGCAACGCCGCGUGAGUGAUGAACGACUUCGGAUCGUAAAACUAUGUUAUUAGGGAAGAACAAAUGUGUAAGUAACUAUGAACGUAUUGACGGUACCGGAUCAGAAAGCCACGGCUAACUACGUG
This 497-nucleotide ribosomal RNA is filed under the name uncultured bacterium. RNAcentral's name for it is "partial 16S ribosomal RNA". It matches the Rfam family "Bacterial small subunit ribosomal RNA", at positions 28 to 507 of the family's 1533-position model. The record is from RNAcentral.